CCUACGUGCGACAGCCGUGAGGAAUCUUGGUCAAUGGACGAGCGUCUGAACCAGCCAAGUAGCGUGAAGGAUGCCUGCCCUAUGGUUUGUACACUUCUUUUAUAAAGGAAUAAAACGAGGCACGUGUGCCUUUUUGCAUGUACUUUAUGAAUAAGGAUCGGCUAACUCCUUUCCAGCCGCCGCGGUAAUACGGAGAAUCCGAUCGUUAUCAGGAUUUUUUGGGUUUAAAGGGAGCGUAGAUGGGUUGUUAAGUCAGUUGUGAAAGUUUGCGGCUCAACCGUAAAAUUGCAAUUGAUACUGGCAGUCUUGAGUACAGUUGAGGUAGGCGGAAUUCGUGGUGUAGCGGUGAAAUGCUUAGAUAUCACGAAGAACUCCGAUUGCGAAGGCAGCUUACUAAACUGCCACUGACAUUGAUGCUCGAAAGUGUGGGUAUCAAACAGGAUUAGAUACCCCAGUAGUC
Molecule: ribosomal RNA, 460 nt
Filed under: uncultured bacterium
Lineage: Bacteria
Description: partial 16S ribosomal RNA
Rfam family: Bacterial small subunit ribosomal RNA
Source: RNAcentral